This 274-nucleotide ribosomal RNA is filed under the name uncultured bacterium. RNAcentral's name for it is "partial 16S ribosomal RNA". It matches the Rfam family "Bacterial small subunit ribosomal RNA", at positions 523 to 796 of the family's 1533-position model. The record is from RNAcentral.
AUACGAAGGGUGCAAGCGUUGUUCGGAAUCACUGGGCGUAAAGGGCGCGCAGGCGGUUUGGUAAGUCAGAUGUGAAAGCCCACGGCUCAACCGUGGAAGUGCAUUUGAAACUGCCAGACUUGAGUACCAGAGGGGAAAGUGGAAUUCCCGGUGUAGAGGUGAAAUUCGUAGAUAUCGGGAGGAAUACCGGUGGCGAAGGCGACUUUCUGGCUGGAUACUGACGCUGAGGCGCGAAAGCGUGGGGAGCAAACAGGAUUAGAAACCCUAGUAGUCC